This 275-nucleotide ribosomal RNA is filed under the name uncultured bacterium. RNAcentral describes it as "partial 16S ribosomal RNA". It matches the Rfam family "Bacterial small subunit ribosomal RNA", at positions 524 to 794 of the family's 1533-position model. The record is from RNAcentral.
UACGGGGGGAGCAAGCGUUGUUCGGAUUUACUGGGCGUAAAGGGCGCGUAGGCGGUCGUGACAAGUCACUUGUGAAAUCUCCGGGCUUAACUCGGAACGGUCAAGUGAUACUGUCGGACUAGAGUACAGAAGGGGCAACUGGAAUUCUCGGUGUAGCGGUGAAAUGCGUAGAUAUCGAGAGGAACACCUGCGGCGAAGGCGACUACCUGGCCUGUUCUUGACGCUGAGGCGCGAAAGCUAGGGGAGCAAACGGGAUUAGAACUACCGGAGUCAGU